ACUCAAAGGAAUAGACGGGGGCCCGCACAAGCAGUGGAGUAUGUGGUUUAAUUCGAAGCAACGCGAAGAACCUUACCAAGGCUUGACAUCCAACUAACGAGGCAGAAAUGCGUUAGGUGCCCUUCGGGGAAAGUUGAGACAGGUGGUGCAUGGUUGUCGUCAGCUCGUGUCGUGAGAUGUUGGGUUAAGUCCCGCAACGAGCGCAACCCUUACGGUUAGUUGCUACGCAAGAGCACUCUAGCCGGACUGCCGUUGACAAAACGGAGGAAGGUGGGGACGACGUCAAAUCAUCAUGCCCUUUAUGUCUUGGGCUACACACGUACUACAAUGGCGGCGCUACAACGGGUCGCGACCCCGCGAGGGGAAGCAAAUCUCUUAAAAGCCGCCUCAGUUCGGAUCGCAGGCUGCAACCCGCCUGCGUGAAGUCGGAAUUGCUAGUAAUCGCGGAUCAGCAUGCCGCGGUGAAUACGUUCCCGGGCCUUGUACACACCGCCCGU
RNAcentral lists this ribosomal RNA (497 nucleotides) under uncultured bacterium. Its description in RNAcentral is "bacterial SSU rRNA". It matches the Rfam family "Bacterial small subunit ribosomal RNA", at positions 899 to 1397 of the family's 1533-position model. The record is from RNAcentral.